CAAGUCAGAUGUGAAAAUACUGCGGCUCAACUGCAGAAUGGCAUCUGAAACUGUACUCUUGAGUACUGGGAGAGGAAAGCGGGAAUUCCUAGUGUAGCGGUGAAAUGCGUAGAUAUUAGGAGGAACACCGGUGGCGAAGGCGGCUUUCUGGACGGUAACUGACGCUGAGACGCGAAAGCGUGGGGAGCAAACAGGAUUAGAUACCCUGGUAGUCCACGCUGUAAACGAUGGAUACUAGGUGUAGGAGGUAUCGACCCCUCCUGUGCCGCCGUUAACACAUUAAGUAUCCCACCUGGGGAGUACGGUCGCAAGACUGAAACUCAAAGGAAUUGACGGGGGCCCGCACAAGCAGUGGAGUAUGUGGUUUAAUUCGAGGCAACGCGAAGAACCUUACCAGGGCUUGACAUCGCCUGACAACGUCGGAAACGACGCUUCUCUUCGGAGCAGGUAGACAGGUGGUGCAUGGUUGUCGUCAGCUCGUGUCGUGAGAUGUUGGGUUAAGUCCCGCAACGAGCGCAACCCUUGCCGUCAGUUGCCAUCAUUAAGUUGGGCACUCUGGCGGGACUGCCGGUGAUAAAUCGGGGGAAGGUGGGGAUGACGUCAAAUCAUCAUGCCCCUUAUGUCCUGGGCUACACACGUACUACAAUGGCCACUACAAUGGGAAGCGAUACCGCGAGGAGGAGCAAAUCCCCAAAGGUGGCCCCAGUUCGGAUUGUAGGCUGAAACUCGCCUACAUGAAGUCGGAAUUGCUAGUAAUUGCAGGUCAGCAUACUGCAGUGAAUACGUUCCCGGGCCUUGUACACACCGCCCGUCACACCAUGAGAGUUUGUAACACCCGAAGUCGGUAGUUUAACUUUAU
RNAcentral lists this ribosomal RNA (859 nucleotides) under uncultured bacterium. Its description in RNAcentral is "bacterial SSU rRNA". It matches the Rfam family "Bacterial small subunit ribosomal RNA", at positions 584 to 1444 of the family's 1533-position model. The record is from RNAcentral.